GGGUAGUACAGAGGGUUGCCAAGCCGUAAGGUGGAGCUAAUCCCUUAAAGCUACUCUCAGUUCGGAUUGUAGGCUGAAACUCGCCUACAUGAAGCUGGAGAUACUAGUACUCGCAGUUCAGAAUGCUUCGGCGAAUGCGUUCCCGGGUCUUGUACACACCGCCCGUCACACCACGGGCGUUGGAGACGCCCGAAGCCGAUUAUCUAACCUUCUGGAGGAAGUCGUCGAAGGUGGAAUCAAUAACUGGGGUGAGUCGUAACAAGGUAGCCGUAUCGGAAGGUGCGGCUGGAUCACCUCCU
RNAcentral lists this ribosomal RNA (299 nucleotides) under Clostridioides difficile. RNAcentral's name for it is "partial 16S ribosomal RNA". It matches the Rfam family "Bacterial small subunit ribosomal RNA", at positions 1232 to 1531 of the family's 1533-position model. The record is from RNAcentral. Lineage: Bacteria; Bacillati; Bacillota; Clostridia; Peptostreptococcales; Peptostreptococcaceae.